RNAcentral lists this long non-coding RNA (3620 nucleotides) under Homo sapiens (human). RNAcentral describes it as "HSALNT0368422". The record is from RNAcentral. Lineage: Eukaryota; Metazoa; Chordata; Mammalia; Primates; Hominidae.
GGCCCCGGACCGGCCCGCCGCACGGCCGCCUGAGCUGCGAGCUGAGGAGGCCCCUUGGCUGUUCCCGCAAAGGGCGGGGGGCUCAUUUUCUCUACUGCCAGCCCGCUCCAUCCUGGUCGUUUAUUCCUUGCCUUCCCUCACCCCCCACCCACACAGCCUGCUGUAUGUAAAUAGGCAAAUAGAUCUACACGGACACAAUAAUUUAGCUCGUUUGGUCUUUGGCAUUUUCUACAAGACCCCAAGAGAUGGACUUUCCUUUCCCCUUCCUCCUUUUAGAAAUGGCAUCCUUCAUCUCUGUCUAUGCAGGCCCAAUUAUCCAGAUCCUCGGGGCUCCAAUAGGGUCUGAGUCAUUGGAACCAGGAACACCUGGCUGAAACAUGCCACAUAAUUAGAUUUUCUUUUUCUUUACCUUUUCUUUCUUUUUUUUAUAAGAGGGCCAGAAUUAGCCUCUUCGACUGGGGCAGAGUAGCUGGGGUGUGGAAAAGGAACACCUUCAUACAACUUCCAGCUUUCAGCCCCUUGGAGAGAUCUCCAAGUUCCCCCGAGCCGCCAGGACUUCCUUUCCUCGAUCUCUCGGCCGCCUUCUCCUCCUUCUCCGAUCGUUUUUUUUCCCCUCCCCCCACUGUCUUCUCUACGGUUUAAUUAAAGUUCAGCGACUCCACUUGCCUCUCCUCUCAUUUCUUUCGGAAAGCGGAAACCAGACGACCCAGCGGCCACGGGACGAGCCGCCCCAACUCAACCCCAGCAGGACGCUGGAGGGGCCUCCCUCGCCCGCCUGUCUUCGCCGGCGCUGGUCUCCCGCACCCGGGUCUGCAGUCCCUCCGCCAUCUCGCAGAAGGAGGAGUUGAGGCGCCUUGAAUUUUCCUUCGCGAGUUUGGAGACUAGCCGAUUUUUCAUGAAGCAAGCAAAGACCGCGGUCCCGGAUCCGGCAACAUCUACCUCAUUCUCUCCAGGCCUCUCCACUUGCCCGAGCUCUCAGCCACCAGGAGACAGAAGGAAGGGACUUCUGGGCUGCGUUGGGAGCGGGCACUGUCCCCUAUCUACUCCUGCUCGGUUUCCCAAAGUCCAGCGACAUCCGACCCUCCUGGGGGGAAAAAUACCAGUACCCAGACACCUCUGCACCCUGUUAUAUGACUGGGCUUGCUUCAGGAAUAUCUUACAAAGAAGAAGAAGAAGAAGAAGAAAGAACAGCUUGGAGUCAUGUUUACAUCUAGUUCUACUGACCGGUUCCCAUCUGGAGAGUUUAUUUAUAACUCCCUCUAUAACUCUCUGUUUGGAGGCACUGGUGGCUCUAUUGACAGACUGAUGUCUAGGAAAUAUUGCUCUAUGUCUAACCGUACCUAAAUGUGCUGUGGUUGUAUUUACAGAUUUAUGUUUGAGGGAAAUAUAAUUAUUUCCAUUGUAUUUGUGCAUAUACAGUAGUUAUAGGAGCAGAUUUAUAUAUGGGAAAAUAUACGACUCUCUUACAGCCAUCCGGCUUUAUGUACAUGUGAUAUCCUGACAGAUUUAUAUCUCUGAACAGCUAUAUAGAUAAAAACGUAUAUUGUUAGAAUUAUGUAUCAGGAGAUAUAUACUUAUUGAUUGUGAAAUAGAGUAGUUAGAGCAUUCACUUAGAGCCAUAUAUGGCUAUGGAGAUAUUUCUAUAUUAUUAUCACUAUAUAUAGGCAUAUCUAUUUAUAACUACAUAGUUAUAAAAAUAGACAUAAAUAAUUAUAGUCCUAUAUGUGCAUGCUGCAAUCUCUCUCUAGAGUUAUAGACACUUUCAAAUAUAACUCUAUAGAGAGAUCUGUAUGUAUAUAAGGUGUAAUUAUCUUGUGAUGUUUUUACGUUGGGACUUAGGCCCGUUUGUCUAGAACAGACAUCUUUAUAUGUAGGGGAUGGGAGAGACUUGUUCACAGAUAUCUGCAGAGGGCCAACUGGAAACACUGUAUCUGCCCUCUAGGAAACCAGCUAGGAGAGUUGUGUACUUAUGGAGGGAUGGAGUUACAAAAGGGUAAAUAGAGCUCAGGGAGCCUUAAGGAGGGGAGGUGAAUGGAGGGUGGGUGGGCUGGGUUUGAACAGAUAGUGGGAGGAAAGGGGUAAACACCAGCACCCACCAGAAGGCGAGAACCGGUUUUGUGAGGGGCUGGCGCAGACGGCUGUGGACAAGGAGCUUGUAAAAUGGGAAGCGGCGAACAGUCCCACCACCUCACCCUGAGACACUCUCCACCGAGGAAGCAGCCUUCAGUUUGGCUUUUAGUGCGCUGUAGGAUAGGGACUGUCGUGUCCCUCCUGUAGUCCUAGAGCGUUUCUGUUGAACCCUAAUUUUUAGGUCUCAAAGAGUGGGCUUCAGAGAUAAAGAGGUUUAGGCAGGGACAGGGCGAGGAGCGUGGGGUGUACUUUCACUUUCCGAUAAGUGAGGUAAUCCAGGAAAGUGAGUUAAUUUGGCCAAAUAAAGCUUGUUUUUAUCUGGGCCUCCUGUGCCUUGGCGGGGAUGUAGGAUGGGACCAGAAUCUAGUGGACUGAGGAGUGAAUUUGCAAGUAUUGGGCCUGCUCUGAUGGGGGCUUGGGGAGGUUGUCCUCACCACCCGCCCUCCUUCUCUGAGGCCUGAGUGGCCUAAUUCCCUCUGGGCACAGAGGGACUCCUUCAGCUCCCUAACAGUGCUGCCCUGGGUCUUUUCAGGGAGAAUUUGAGUUUAGGAACAGGGAACGUGGACUUACCCCACUAGAUCUCACUUCUCCCACUCACAGCUACACCACUCUUACAUCAGCCUCCUUCCAGGCACCGCUGGGCCAGGGGUCCCCAAUUCUUCCCCUGCUGCCAACCAGCCCAGUGGGGAAAUACCUCCCACGACUGCCAGUUUUUGUGGUUUUUUGUUGUUGUUGUUGUUGUUGUUUUUAAACAGGGAGUUACAGAUAACUUCGUUGAAUGUGUGAAGGAAUUAUCCUGAACUCAGUCUCCGUGGCCAACCUGGCCUCCAGGAUCUCUAGGAUGCUAGGAAGGGAGUGGAGACCCUUGGACCAGGCUAACCACCAUGUGCCACCCUCCACACACCCCUGCCCACGGGACUAGGAAUUCCUGCAGUGCAGGGACUCUGUCUGCUGUCUGGCACAGAAUGGUUGCCCAAACAUACUUCUUGAGGUAAACGGAAUGGCAGUCAAUAUAAAAACUCACCCUCCCUCUGCACACCACCAUAGCCACUGCAGGCUAGCAGGCACCCUAGCCAGGCUGGGAGAUAACAUGGCGGCUGGCAGCAGCUUGGGCUUUGACCGGACCGGUGGUUAGUAGGGUGGGAGAGCAUCCUGAGCCUAGGAUGGGGCGGGUACUGGAGCAAGGCACCUGGAAUCUGGAAAUUUGGGGGUAAGCCAAGGCAGACCCACCACCCCAGUGCACUUCUGCUUUCUAUCUCCAGUCUCCUGGCUCCCUGGACCCCCAAGUUAUGAAAACUAAACCAGAGCUGAGACCUGGGCUAGGAAGGAAUUGCCUGUCAAUCCGAGGGGUGCAAAGAGGAACCACCAUUGGGUCCAUUAAGAAAUCCACAAAUAAAACAAAAAUAAAUCAGUGCGAGACAGACAACCUGGCUGAAGGAAAGGUUUCUCUCUAUGCCUCAGCCCUGCUCCAGGGCUACCAAACAGAUCAG